UUUAACUGAAGAGUUUGAUCAUGGCUCAGAUUGAACGCUGGCGGCAGGCUUAACACAUGCAAGUCGAGCGGGGGAAGGUAGCUUGC
RNAcentral lists this ribosomal RNA (86 nucleotides) under Acinetobacter baumannii. RNAcentral's name for it is "partial 16S ribosomal RNA". It matches the Rfam family "Bacterial small subunit ribosomal RNA", at positions 1 to 87 of the family's 1533-position model. Lineage: Bacteria; Pseudomonadati; Pseudomonadota; Gammaproteobacteria; Moraxellales; Moraxellaceae. The record is from RNAcentral.